This is a long non-coding RNA of Vicia villosa (hairy vetch), 1859 nucleotides long. RefSeq lists it as uncharacterized. NCBI's taxonomy places the organism in Eukaryota, Viridiplantae, Streptophyta, Magnoliopsida, Fabales, Fabaceae. The transcript has 5 exons. The record is from RefSeq and is a predicted model, not a curated record.
UCUAUGAUGGAGUCCCCUAACUCAUUUCUUGCAACAAAACCAAAAAAGCUGCGCUUCAUCUUCUCCUCUUUCUACUUCCUUCUUCCCCUUUUCUCCAUCCUCAUUUUCACCAAACUGCGCUUCAUCUUCAUCUUUCCAUUUUUCACCAAACUGCGCUUCAUCUUCACCGUUUGGGGUCUAAAUAAUCCACAUCUGCUGAUUCAAUGAUCUGUAGCGGCAUCAACGGGUUACCGACGAUUAGUGUGGUGGUGGUGGAAAUGGGUUUCCACACAGACAGCGGUAAGCGGGUUGCAUAUGAUUGGAGUGUCGUGUUCAUAUCUCAGGGUAAAUUUCUUUAUUUGCUGUUAAAUUUGAUAUGAGAAAGAGUUCUUUCUAUGGCUUAUUUUGCAUUCAACUUCUAUUCGUAGUAUUAGGAGGACUCAUGGCUGAAAGUGCAAAGAAAUUGCAGGUAUUUUCCUAAUAAAAAGAAUGGUUAAUCUAUCAUAUAAGGAGUAACAAACGCAGCUCGAUCAUUGAUAGGGCUACAGGAUCAACGAAUUUGACUGACACGAAACCAUAUCUUAUGAAGCUUAGCGAAGAUCAAAUGGGCCAACUUCUCUCUGCCUUUUGGAUUUAGGCCAACCGAAUGUUGAAGCUAUAGCUCAUUCAUUUAUAUUGACACUAAUUGUUUUGCGCAUGAAGAUAGAGUUAUAAGGUUUAAGGAUUGCUAUGGAUUGUAGGCUUGCAGCAGAGUUUGAUGGUUUAUUGUGAGGGUGAGUUGGUGAAGGAAGAGAGAUGGAGAUUGUUGUCAACCUUAGCAAAUCAGGUGUAUAAUUACUACGCAUAAAGUGAUUCUCAUGAAUUCACUGGAUGGUACUGUCGGUCGGUACAUGUCACAGUUAUGCAAUUGGCUCAGGAAAUAAAAGUCUGGUAAGGAUUCUUCCUUUUUUGCUGUAUAAUUGUAAAGUUUUUCGAUCGAGGUAAUUAUUGUAUAGAAUUGCUUACCGUGUUUCUGUUUUUGAAUAGAUGAUCUUCACUUUGAAUUUCGGGCACUGGAGUUGGCUCUGUAAUUGACAUGAAUAUCUUUAGAUACACAUGUAUUAACUGACCAAAACUGUACUAUUUUGGGGUAAUUGUAUGUUUUUAUAUUUCAGAAUUCUGGUUUCACUGCUUCAAGGUAUUGAAUCUAACUCCAUUGCUAUUCCACAUUCAACAACCAAUUAUAACAACAGCAGGAUGCAAAACAGAUCCAAAAUGGAAGUUAUAAUAUAAGCUAAACAGGUAGCCACUUUGUGUAUGAUUGUAUUCAUUUAUUUGAGAAGCCAAAGUUAUUCUUAUGCACUUUUUAAUUCAGUAGCAGUCUCAUUAUUCCACUUAGCCGUAUCUCUCCUAAACUUUGUUCUAUCUUAUUUUCAUGAUAAACUUUUUGCUCAUGCUUUAGUGGUUAAAUGAUUCUAGCAGCAUUCGUGUUUCGAAUGAACUCGGGGUUUGUAAUCCACAGGCCGCAUGUUUGACAGCGUGCAUUGUUUUGCAAGUACGGUGGCGGUGGCGUAUGGUAACUAUUAAUUCAUUACAAAUGUUCUCCUUUUAAUUUAUGAUUUUGGCACUGCUAGAGGAUGUGAUUGGCAGAAAAUUUGUGCUUACAUCAAUAUGGGAACAUACUAUUUACGUCAAUUAAAGUCGAAGAGUUUUGGCAGAGGGAUGAAAUUCUCAGUUUGGCUGUAAAUAUCACAGGCGGCUCAUAUAAUCACAUUAAAGCUUCAAAUGGUAGAGUUUUUCAGUAUUCAAAAGGAUUCCAAAGUUUGGAACCACGAAAGCUUUUGGAGAUAUUGGUAAAAGUGUGCCACCUACAUUGUUUUAAUAACCUUCCACUGUCCCAA